This 2582-nucleotide unclassified non-coding RNA is filed under the name Ixodes scapularis (black-legged tick). RNAcentral describes it as "uncharacterized LOC120846587, transcript variant X4". The record is from RNAcentral. Lineage: Eukaryota; Metazoa; Arthropoda; Arachnida; Ixodida; Ixodidae.
CGAGCUGCUUCUUCGUUUCAAAUACAUUUGGCGCCGCUGCCUAUUGUUUGAGCCUGUGCUCACGAUGAAAACACGCAUCGCAGAAACCUGAAAGCCCGCCAAAAGAGCUCUAAAAACCGCAUCCCAGACCUGCCGGCAGACUUCCGAGCUAAGCCUGAUUAAACAAAAACGUUUGAUCCGGCGGAAUAAUGUGUUUGAUAUUACAUCCCAUGUCAACAAGGAACUGCGCUGUCUGUCUUCGCCCCCAACAGGUUUUAUUCUUCCGGGUUUUUCAAAUCUUUACCAACCCGCGUCCGAUCGUAAUACCCCGAUCACAACAAAUAGUUGAUCGUGCUCCGAUGGCUCCAAACAUCAGCCGGCAAGGAAGUUACGUUUUUCGCUUCUAUAUUUUGACCCAAGUGAUGGCUGGUCGUGGUUCAUCAGCGUUUGUUUUGAAACUGAUGGGUACCACAAGGCAUGAAGGAGGUGACUUGCAGCAGCAAGGCACUGCAAGCCUUCGCAGCAACUGGCUAGCCAGUGCUGCUCUGUUCUGAACUGCACUGCGUGUCAUGCGGAGGUUUUGUGCAAGCUCUCUGGGCGGCGACGCUAGCCACGAUUGGCUUCGUGGAUGCACAGAAAUACUCAAGGCGCUUGACGUCUGUGGCUCAUCUGUAUUGUUUUUCCCGGUACCACGGCAUGAAGGAGCUGGCCUCCCUCCCUUCCAUCAGCUGCGAGAUACUACAAGCACUGGGCUACAGCUGCAGCUAGCCCAUGGGUACCGUUCUGCGUCCUGUACUGCAUCUAGUUCGAAAGGCCAUGUGAAAGGCAGGUACCGGGGACCAUGACAUCAGUGAGCUGGCUUUCACCUUGUCCAAGGCAGCAGCGGAACACUACGGGCGGGACCCUGGAUCACUGCACCAUGGAUGCCGUCCUGUACCCUGCACGGCACUGCGUGUGGCUUAAGUGGCCAAGCAGAGGGUCAUUGCAUGACUUUUAUGAGGCGCCGCUAGCCAUUGUAAGUACAUUUUGGACACUCAUGUCUGGUGAUGUACUUUUGUGCUCUACCGCAGAGCACAUUUGGUGGCGGUUCAGUCUUGCCAAUUACACCAUUUUGAAACGGAACACAUUUAGUGGUGGCUCGGUUUAGGUUUCCUGGCUCGGUGAUCUUGCAACAGUGUCUAGACUUGGCGUAAACCUUUUUGUACUUCAUUGUCAUGGCUAGUGUAAUUUCUGCAAUGCCGUUGAAGCCACUUCUGCACGCAAACAAGAUAAAAGUCGAAGCCACAUGCUCGUGCACAGUGUAUGACUACAUGUAUGCAUGGGCACUCGUGCCCAUGCGUACCCACUUGCAACAUGGAGCAUGUUUGUUUCGGCCGACACUCCACGCGUUCAUUUCGGCGUCGCCACUCCACACGUCUAUGCACUCGCUGCACCUUGAGAAUCAAGUGUGCACCAGAAUGCACUCCCGUCAUGCAUCACUCGGGAGAGGAACAAGAGCAGACGACUGGGGUUUUUCCGCCAUAAGGAACGAGAACCGAAAAAAAGGGGAUUUUCUGCUAAGAAACUGCGUCCCACGGGCAGCAAAAUCGGACGCGAGCUGGGCUAUUUAUUCUGUGAAGCAAGCAAUCGACAACCUGUGCUUCAUUUUCAAGUUUUCUUUCAGCUUGUUGCCACACAGACAUUGAAAUACAUCAAUGGGAUAAAGUAAGGUUCAGAACCAACAUCAGCUACCGUGAGAUCUCUCACCAUCCUUGCGGGGUUGAAAAAUUGGGACUUCAGUUGACAAACCUCGCCCGCCCUCCUGUCCAUCAUCACCUGACCCCAUUCUGCAUAUGUGGGUAUGUGCAAGGGAGCGUGAUCAUGUGGCUGAAGAUACAAGUGUGACCGGCCCAACGAGCACAUAGUUUCCACAGCACUGUCGGCUUAGGGGUGCACGGAAGAUACUGUAUAAACUGGAAUAUAGGUCGACCCCUUAAUUUACAAGUUGCAAGAUGCAAAAGAAGUUUUUAUGGCAAGAAAACGCAACCUUACCUUGGUGACAAAAUUGUCCAAGUAUAUAAAAGGACGAGAAAACACGGCAGAUUUAUUUAAUUGUUUUGCACUCAAUAAAACAGGAAGUAUGCGAGUGUUACUACUCAGAUUCCUCAGAGCCUUCGUCCGACGACGAGUUCACUAACACAAUUUAAAGGGACGAUGCCGUCCCUUUGAAUUGCGCCCUCGAAAGCUCGGAGGCACGAGCAACCUCAACGCCUUUUAUAUGGAUGCUCUCCGACAUCACAGGUAUCGAUCUGGCGCACAGAUCCCGAAUAACGUUUGCCACCUUUGUUUCCAAUUCGGGGUACACUGCAGUCCUUCCACGAAAUUAAGUUUUCCUCGCCUUGCUGCACGCCGCCGGUUUUUGUCUCUGGUUUUGCCAGUAGCAUAUGCUUUUCUCCGAUACACUGAACUCUCGCUGCGCUGCAAGAUUCCGGUGGAUCUCUGCAUAGGCGAUUGCCUUGUUCUAAAAGGCUACUGUGAACUGUCUUCUACUUCCGCUCAUUAUUGCUGCGGUAGAUGUAACAAACCAAGGAGCACAAGUAAAAGUUAAUCGUGACCAUCGUGAC